AGUGAACGCUGGCGGUAGGCCUAACACAUGCAAGUCGAACGGCAGCACAGUAAGAGCUUGCUCUUACGGGUGGCGAGUGGCGGACGGGUGAGGAAUACAUCGGAAUCUACUUUUUCGUGGGGGAUAACGUAGUGAAACUUACGCUAAUACCGCAUACGACCUACGGGUGAAAGCAGGGGAUCUUCGGACCUUGCGCGAUUGAAUGAGCCGAUGUCGGAUUAGCUAGUUGGCGGGGUAAAGGCCCACCAAGGCGACGAUCCGUAGCUGGUCUGAGAGGAUGAUCGGCAAACCGGGAACUGAGCCACGGUCCGGACCCCUAGGGGAGGCAGCGGUGGGGAAUAUUGACAAUGGGCGCAAGCCUGAUCCAGCCAUACCGCGUGGGUGAAGAAGGCCUUCGGGUUGUAAAGCCCUUUUGUUGGGAAAGAAAAGCAGCAGGUUAAUACCCCGCUGUUCUGACGGUACCCAAAGAAUAAGCACCGGCUAACUUCGUG
Molecule: ribosomal RNA, 491 nt
Filed under: uncultured bacterium
Lineage: Bacteria
Description: partial 16S ribosomal RNA
Rfam family: Bacterial small subunit ribosomal RNA
Source: RNAcentral